GGAGUUAGGAAAUGCGGUGCGGUUAAUACCCGCAUCGUUUGACAAAGGCCCCAGAGGAAGCACUGGCUAACUACGUGCCAGCAGCCGCGGUAAUACGUAGAGUGCAAACGUUGUUCGGAAUCACUGGGCAUAAAGAGCUCGUAGGCGGCCUGGCAAGUCGGUUGUGAAAGCCCCUGGCUCAACCAGGGAACUGCAGCCGAAACUGCUGGGCUUGAGUGUGGGAGGGGAGAGUG
This 233-nucleotide ribosomal RNA is filed under the name uncultured anaerobic ammonium-oxidizing bacterium. RNAcentral's name for it is "partial 16S ribosomal RNA". It matches the Rfam family "Bacterial small subunit ribosomal RNA", at positions 439 to 663 of the family's 1533-position model. The record is from RNAcentral.